GAUGAACGCUGGCGGCGUGCCUAAUACAUGCAAGUCGAGCGAACAGAUAAGGAGCUUGCUCCUUUGACGUUAGCGGCGGACGGGUGAGUAACACGUGGGUAACCUACCUAUAAGACUGGGAUAACUUCGGGAAACCGGAGCUAAUACCGGAUAACAUUUGGAACCGCAUGGUUCUAAAGUGAAAGAUGGUUUUGCUAUCACUUAUAGAUGGACCCGCGCCGUAUUAGCUAGUUGGUAAGGUAACGGCUUACCAAGGCAACGAUACGUAGCCGACCUGAGAGGGUGAUCGGCCACACUGGAACUGAGACACGGUCCAGACUCCUACGGGAGGCAGCAGUAGGGAAUCUUCCGCAAAGGGCGAAAGCCUGACGGAGCAACGCCGCGUGAGUGAUGAAGGGUUUCGGCUCGUAAAACUCUGUUAUUAGGGAAGAACAAACGUGUAAGUAACUGUGCACGUCUUGACGGUACCUAAUCAGAAAGCCACGGCUAACUACGUG
This 497-nucleotide ribosomal RNA is filed under the name uncultured bacterium. RNAcentral's name for it is "partial 16S ribosomal RNA". It matches the Rfam family "Bacterial small subunit ribosomal RNA", at positions 28 to 507 of the family's 1533-position model. The record is from RNAcentral.